AAUAGAUACCCGGGUAGUCCACGCCGUAAACGAUGAGUGCUAAGUGUUAGAGGGUUUCCGCCCUUUAGUGCUGCAGCUAACGCAUUAAGCACUCCGCCUGGGGAGUACGGCCGCAAGGCUGAAACUCAAAGGAAUUGACGGGGGCCCGCACAAGCGGUGGAGCAUGUGGUUUAAUUCGAAGCAACGCGAAGAACCUUACCAGGUCUUGACAUCCUCUGACAACCCUAGAGAUAGGGCUUUCCCCUUCGGGGGACAGAGUGACAGGUGGUGCAUGGUUGUCGUCAGCUCGUGUCGUGAGAUGUUGGGUUAAGUCCCGCAACGAGCGCAACCCUUGAUCUUAGUUGCCAGCAUUCAGUUGGGCACUCUAAGGCGACUGCCGGUGACAAACCGGAGGAAGGUGGGGAUGGACGUCAAAUCAUCAUGCCCCUUAUGACCUGGGCUACACACGUGCUACAAUGGAUGGUACAAAGGGCUGCAAACCUGCGAAGGUAAGCGAAUCCAUAAAGCCAUUCUCAGUUCGGAUUGCAGG
This 529-nucleotide ribosomal RNA is filed under the name uncultured bacterium. Its description in RNAcentral is "bacterial SSU rRNA". It matches the Rfam family "Bacterial small subunit ribosomal RNA", at positions 777 to 1304 of the family's 1533-position model. The record is from RNAcentral.